This 492-nucleotide ribosomal RNA is filed under the name uncultured bacterium. RNAcentral describes it as "partial 16S ribosomal RNA". It matches the Rfam family "Bacterial small subunit ribosomal RNA", at positions 28 to 507 of the family's 1533-position model. The record is from RNAcentral.
GAUGAACGCUAGCUACAGGCUUAACACAUGCAAGUCGAGGGGAAACGACAUCGAAAGCUUGCUUUUGAUGGGCGUCGACCGGCGCACGGGUGAGUAACGCGUAUCCAACCUGCCCAUCACUUGGGAAUAACCUUGCGAAAGUAAGACUAAUACCCAAUGACAUCCCACGAAGACAUCUGAAUGGGAUUAAAGAUUUAUCGGUGAUGGAUGGGGAUGCGUCUGAUUAGCUUGUUGGCGGGGUAACGGCCCACCAAGGCAACGAUCAGUAGGGGUUCUGAGAGGAAGGUCCCCCACAUUGGAACUGAGACACGGUCCAAACUCCUACGGGAGGCAGCAGUGAGGAAUAUUGGUCAAUGGGCGAGAGCCUGAACCAGCCAAGUAGCGUGCAGGAUGACGGCCCUAUGGGUUGUAAACUGCUUUUAUAAGGGAAUAAAGUGGGUCUCGUGAGACUUUUUGCAUGUACCUUAUGAAUAAGGACAGGCUAAUUCCGUG